AGCGAACGCUGGCGGCAGGCCUAACACAUGCCAGUCGAACGAACCUUUCGGGGUUAGUGGCGGACGGGUGAGUAACACGUGGGAACGUGCCUUUAGGUUCGGAAUAACUCAGGGAAACUUGUGCUAAUACCGAAUGUGCCCUUCGGGGGAAAGAUUUAUCGCCUUUAGAGCGGCCCGCGUCUGAUUAGCUAGUUGGUUGAGGUAAUGGCUCACCAAGGCGACGAUCAGUAGCUGGUCUGAGAGGAUGGUCAGCCACAUUGGGACUGAGACACGGCCCAAACUCCUACGGGAGGCAGCAGUGGGGAAUCUUGCGCAAUGGGCGAAAGCCUGACGCAGCCAUGCCGCGUGAAUGAUGAAGGUCUUAGGAUUGUAAAAUUCUUUCACCGGGGACGAUAAUGACGGUACCCGGAGAAGAAGCCCCGGCUAACUUCGUG
RNAcentral lists this ribosomal RNA (434 nucleotides) under uncultured bacterium. RNAcentral describes it as "partial 16S ribosomal RNA". It matches the Rfam family "Bacterial small subunit ribosomal RNA", at positions 29 to 507 of the family's 1533-position model. The record is from RNAcentral.